Molecule: ribosomal RNA, 469 nt
Filed under: uncultured bacterium
Lineage: Bacteria
Description: partial 16S ribosomal RNA
Rfam family: Bacterial small subunit ribosomal RNA
Source: RNAcentral
GACGAACGCUGGCGGCGUGCUUAACACAUGCAAGUCGAACGGUGAAGCGAGUGCUUGCACUCGUGGAUCAGUGGCGAACGGGUGAGUAACACGUGAGUAACCUGCCCAUCACUCUGGGAUAAGCACUGGAAACGGUGUCUAAUACUGGAUACGACCAACCCUUGCAUGGGGUGUUGGUGGAAAGAUUUAUCGGUGAUGGAUGGACGCGCGGCCUAUCAGCUUGUUGGCGGGGUAAUGGCACACCAAGGCGACGACGGGUAGCCGGCCUGAGAGGGUGACCGGCCACACUGGGACUGAGACACGGCGCAGACGCCUACGGGAGGCAGAAGUGGAGAAUAUUGCACAAUGGGCGAAAGCCUGAUGCAGCGACGCCGCGUGAGGGAUGACGGCCUUCGGGUUGUAAACCUCUUUCAGCAGGGAAGAAGCGAAAGUGACGGUACCUGCAGAAGAAGCACCGGCUAACUACGUG